CAGAGGAGUACUUUCUCAAUCUGUGCUCCAUCGUCACGCUGGAGUUAUCUCAACAAGUAAAAACUGAGCAGAAGCCUCCACAGGUCGAGAGGCGACGCUCUCUGCUUCUUCUUCUUAUUGCCUGAGACUCUCAGUCUCUUGCAAAAUGCCUGCCUGCCCGCGGGCUGCGAUGUCAGCAGCUGUCAGUCAGCAGAGAAAGAAGACCCGGCCCGGCUCUGUGCUGUGUGAAG
Molecule: long non-coding RNA, 230 nt
Organism: Larimichthys crocea (large yellow croaker)
Lineage: Eukaryota; Metazoa; Chordata; Actinopteri; Sciaenidae
Exons: 2
Source: RefSeq, a predicted model, not a curated record